This 69-nucleotide transfer RNA is filed under the name Rattus norvegicus (Norway rat). It matches the Rfam family "tRNA". Rfam says of the family: Transfer RNA (tRNA) molecules are approximately 80 nucleotides in length. Their secondary structure includes four short double-helical elements and three loops (D, anti-codon, and T loops). Lineage: Eukaryota; Metazoa; Chordata; Mammalia; Rodentia; Muridae. The record is from Rfam by way of RNAcentral.
GGGGAUUUAGCUCAGUGGUAGAGCGUUUGCCUAGCAAGCGCAAGGCUCUGGGUUCGGUCCCCAGCUCCG